UUCAAUCUUUGAUUCCGUCGAAGCAGCAACGAAACUAGAAUUCCGAUCCGAAAGAUGUAGUGGAGAUUAGCAAUAGGACAAACAGGAAGUCCCGAUCUACACUGAAAUGCUUUCAUACUCACAGUUUUAAUUGGCUCAAACUUUGCUGUGUCAAAGAAGGAGCAACAGUUUUGGAGACAACCGAGCUCUGAAAGGGAAAACGAGCCCGAAUCGAGAACUUAGAAGGAAAGAGACCCACUGAAAAAAUAUGUUCAAGAGGGCGUCAAAGCUGACGCUUAUCUGCGCCUCAUUUGCCACAGGCAGCAACAAAAGCCUCAUCAAUUUCAAAGACCUCGACCGUCGCAGCCAAAGAUUGAACCACUGACAGCUGUCUGCGGGAGGAGAAAAUAGGAAAGAACUAGAGUCCCAUUUCCGAAAUGCAAAUGAUAUGUGGUAGAGACCCGACUGCAAGAUACUCUACUCCACUUCCAUUAUUUCCCACCGAAGAGGGCAUUUUCAGAUCAGCCCCAACCGUUGGCAGAAGCCACAUACCCCUCUGAGCUCUGCAAAUAGCCAAAUUAAGAGGGAGAACCGUGGACACUGGCGCGCCAAAGUUCACUCAACUUUCAACUCGUAAUUUGUCAUUGUGCCAGGCGCCGUGAGUAGCCGACUAAAAACGACCCCCGACAGCUGCCACCGCCCCCACUUGCCACCCUUCCCACUUUGUCCCCACCGGGUUUCCUUGGAACUGGCGAAAAGUGUUCACCAGCGAUGACGCUGGCCACAAUAAAUACGAAAAUCGUUUGCAACAGGCGCACAUUUCACCAACGUUUCCAGUACCCCA
Molecule: long non-coding RNA, 823 nt
Organism: Drosophila biarmipes
Lineage: Eukaryota; Metazoa; Arthropoda; Insecta; Diptera; Drosophilidae
Exons: 3
Source: RefSeq, a predicted model, not a curated record